GCCCGCUACAGAAACUACAAAGGAAUUGACGGGGCCCGCACAAGCGGUGGAGUAUGUGGUUUAAUUCGAUGCAACGCGAAGAACCUUACCUGGUCUUGACAUCCCAGAAAUCCCUUGGAAACUUGGGAGUGCUUCCAUUAGGAAGAAUCUGGAGACAGGUGCUGCAUGGCUGUCGUCAGCUCGUGUCGUGAGAUGUUGGGUUAAGUCCCGCAACGAGCGCAACCCUUGCCUUUAGUUGCCAGCAGUUCGGCUGGGCACUCUAAAGGGACUGCCGGUGUUAAACCGGAGGAAGGUGGGGAUGACGUCAAGUCCUCAUGGCCUUUAUGACCAGGGCUACACACGUACUACAAUGGCCGAUACAAAGGGCAGCGACAUCGCGAGGUGAAGCCAAUCCCAUAAAAUCGGUCUCAGUCCGGAUUGGAGUCUGCAACUCGACUCCAUGAAGUUGGAAUCGCUAGUAAUCGUGGAUCAGCAUGCCACGGUGAAUACGUUCCCGGGCCUU
Molecule: ribosomal RNA, 502 nt
Filed under: uncultured Desulfobulbus sp.
Lineage: Bacteria; Pseudomonadati; Thermodesulfobacteriota; Desulfobulbia; Desulfobulbales; Desulfobulbaceae
Description: bacterial SSU rRNA
Rfam family: Bacterial small subunit ribosomal RNA
Source: RNAcentral